GAAGGGAGCUUGCUCCCGGAUGUUAGCGGCGGACGGGUGAGUAACACGUGGGUAACCUGCCUGUAAGACUGGGAUAACUCCGGGAAACCGGAGCUAAUACCGGAUAGUUCCUUGAACCGCAGGGUUCAAGGAUGAAAGACGGUUUCGGCUGUCACUUACAGAUGGACCCGCGGCGCAUUAGCUAGUUGGUGAGGUAACGGCUCACCAAGGCGACGAUGCGUAGCCGACCUGAGAGGGUGAUCGGCCACACUGGGACUGAGACACGGCCCAGACUCCUACGGGAGGCAGCAGUAGGGAAUCUUCCGCAAUGGACGAAAGUCUGACGGAGCAACGCCGCGUGAGUGAUGAAGGUUUUCGGAUCGUAAAGCUCUGUUGUUAGGGAAGAACAAGUGCAAGAGUAACUGCUUGCACCUUGACGGUACCUAACCAGAAAGCCACGGCUAACUACGUGCCAGCAGCCGCGGUAAUACGUAGGUGGCAAGCGUUGUCCGGAAUUAUUGGGCGUAAAGGGCUCGCAGGCGGUUUCUUAAGUCUGAUGUGAAAGCCCCCGGCUCAACCGGGGAGGGUCAUUGGAAACUGGGAAACUUGAGUGCAGAAGAGGAGAGUGGAAUUCCACGUGUAGCGGUGAAAUGCGUAGAGAUGUGGAGGAACACCAGUGGCGAA
This 663-nucleotide ribosomal RNA is filed under the name Bacillus sp. LMR336. RNAcentral describes it as "bacterial SSU rRNA". It matches the Rfam family "Bacterial small subunit ribosomal RNA", at positions 71 to 719 of the family's 1533-position model. Lineage: Bacteria; Bacillati; Bacillota; Bacilli; Caryophanales; Bacillaceae. The record is from RNAcentral.